AUGAACGCUAGCUACAGGCUUAACACAUGCCAGUCGAGGGGAAACGGCAUCGAAAGCUUGCUUUUGAUGGGCGUCGACCGGCGCACGGGUGAGUAACGCGUAUCCAACCUGCCCAUCACUUGGGAAUAACCUUGCGAAAGUAAGACUAAUGCCCAAUGACAUCCCACGAAGGCAUCCGAAUGGGAUUAAAGAUUUAUCGGUGAUGGAUGGGGAUGCGUCUGAUUAGCUUGUUGGCGGGGUGACGGCCCACCAAGGCAACGAUCAGUAGGGGUUCUGAGAGGAAGGUCCCCCACAUUGGAACUGAGACACGGUCCAAACUCCUACGGGAGGCAGCAGUGAGGAAUAUUGGUCAAUGGGCGAGAGCCUGAACCAGCCAAGUAGCGUGCAGGAUGACGGCCCUAUGGGUUGUAAACUGCUUUUAUAAGGGAAUAAAGUGGGUCACGUGUGACUUUUUGCAUGUACCUUAUGAAUAAGGACCGGCUAAUUCCGUG
RNAcentral lists this ribosomal RNA (491 nucleotides) under uncultured bacterium. RNAcentral describes it as "partial 16S ribosomal RNA". It matches the Rfam family "Bacterial small subunit ribosomal RNA", at positions 29 to 507 of the family's 1533-position model. The record is from RNAcentral.